This 706-nucleotide ribosomal RNA is filed under the name uncultured bacterium. Its description in RNAcentral is "bacterial SSU rRNA". It matches the Rfam family "Bacterial small subunit ribosomal RNA", at positions 54 to 749 of the family's 1533-position model. The record is from RNAcentral.
CAUGCAAGUCGAACGGCAGCACAGAGGAGCUUGCUCCUUGGGUGGCGAGUGGCGGACGGGUGAGGAAUACAUCGGAAUCUGCCCAGUCGUGGGGGAUAACUUAGGGAAACUUAAGCUAAUACCGCAUACGACCUACGGGUGAAAGCGGAGGACCGCAAGGCUUCGCGCGAUUGGAUGAGCCGAUGUCGGAUUAGCUAGUUGGCGGGGUAAAGGCCCACCAAGGCGACGAUCCGUAGCUGGUCUGAGAGGAUGAUCAGCCACACUGGAACUGAGACACGGUCCAGACUCCUACGGGAGGCAGCAGUGGGGAAUAUUGGACAAUGGGCGCAAGCCUGAUCCAGCCAUGCCGCGUGAGUGAAGAAGGCCCUCGGGUUGUAAAGCUCUUUUGUCCGGAAAGAAAAGCACUUGGCUAAUACCCAGGUGUCCUGACGGUACCCGCAGAAUAAGCCCCGGCUAACUUCGUGCCAGCAGCCGCGGUAAUACGAAGGGGGCUAGCGUUGUUCGGAAUCACUGGGCGUAAAGCGCACGUAGGCGGACUUUCAAGUCAGGGGUGAAAUCCCGGGGCUCAACCUCGGAAUUGCCUUUGAUACUGUAGGUCUCGAGUCCGGAAGAGGUGGGUGGAAUUCCUAGUGUAGAGGUGAAAUUCGUAGAUAUUAGGAAGAACACCAGUGGCGAANGCGGCUCACUGGUCCGGUACUGACGCUGA